UACGAAGGGUGCUAGCGUUGUCCGGAAUCAUUGGGCGUAAAGCGCGCGUAGGCGGCCCGAUAAGUCCGCUGUAAAAGUCAACGGCUCAACUGUUGAAAGCCGGUGGAUACUGUCGGGCUAGAGUACGGAAGAGGCAAGUGGAAUUCCUGGUGUAGCGGUGGAAUGCGCAGAUAUCAGGAGGAACACCUGUAGCGAAGGCAGCUUGCUGGGACGUUACUGACGCUAAGGCGCGAAAGUGUGGGGAGCGAACAGG
This 253-nucleotide ribosomal RNA is filed under the name uncultured bacterium. RNAcentral describes it as "partial 16S ribosomal RNA". It matches the Rfam family "Bacterial small subunit ribosomal RNA", at positions 524 to 776 of the family's 1533-position model. The record is from RNAcentral.